RNAcentral lists this ribosomal RNA (112 nucleotides) under Sphingobacteriaceae bacterium. Lineage: Bacteria; Pseudomonadati; Bacteroidota; Sphingobacteriia; Sphingobacteriales; Sphingobacteriaceae. The record is from RNAcentral.
AAUGGUGAUUAUAGCGUAGGUGAGCACCUCUUCCCAUUCCGAACAGAGUAGUUAAGCCCUACAGCGCCGAUGGUACUGCAGUAAAAUGUGGAAGAGUAGGUCGUUGCCAGUC